ACUUUCCUCCUUCUACUUCUUCCUUUCUUCAUCCUUUAUAAUCUCUUCCGUUUUUCCUUAGCUGUGUCCGUCUCAUAUCUUCUCUUCUCAGGCAAAUUACACGCUGCUGUUUCGUUUCGCUCAAAUCUUCCUCGUCGCAGGGUCUUGGCUUAAGUCCAACCCUGUUUUAGAAGCAUUUGGUAAUGCUAAGACUGUUAGGAACAAUAACUCAAGUCGUUUUGGUAAGUUUGUGGAGAUUCAAUUUGAUCGGAGGGGAAGGGUUUCAGGAGCUGCCAUUAGGACUUACUUAUUAGAAAGAUCACGUGUUUGUCAAGUGUUUGAUCCUGAGAGAAAUUAGCACUGUUUCUACAUGCUUUGUGCAGCACCAGUAGAACUUAUUGGAGAGGAAGAAUCAACCAAAAAAAGUUAGGUCAGCUUCCACAACUAAGCAUUCCACAAGUAUGAAAACUCGAAGGUGGUCUGUCACUGGGUUAGGGCUCUACACAAAUAUGAAAACUGGAGAGCAGACAUUCUAUUCUGGAUUGAGAUCAAAUACAACACAGUCAGGUCGGACAUCAACUGCAAGCUCUUCAGUGAAGUUGAAAUCACCAAAUAGGAAACGCCAAACUGGUGGAGAUCCUAUAAGCACACAAGAAUCAGUUGCAAAUUAGAAGCAAGCGAAGAGUUUUGGUAUUUUGUUAGUUUGAUAUUGGAUAUUGGAUUUGGUUGGUAUUAGUACAGAGUUUGUGCUGGUAUAGCCACUGUUUUGUUUUUGGUAAAGGCAAUAUUUUGGUGUUGGUUGAUAUUGCUAUAGGCACUUUGUUUUUGUUGGGUUCUUUUUGCUUGUGUAAAUGCUGGAUGGGUUGAUAAAGGCGUACAAUAUUUCCACUCAAUAAAGGACAUACAAUGAUUAAUCCAUACUUCUGAUCAUUGUACUUGUAUAAUUGACUUAUUAGCUCAAUGUGGAAAUAUAUGAAUUAACCCAUACUACUGAUCAUUACUAUUGUAUAAUU
This is an RNA transcript of Gossypium raimondii (Peruvian cotton), 992 nucleotides long. RefSeq lists it as uncharacterized. The transcript is spliced from 5 exons. NCBI's taxonomy places the organism in Eukaryota, Viridiplantae, Streptophyta, Magnoliopsida, Malvales, Malvaceae. The record is from RefSeq and is a predicted model, not a curated record.